This is a long non-coding RNA of Helianthus annuus (common sunflower), 865 nucleotides long. RefSeq lists it as uncharacterized. The record is from RefSeq and is a predicted model, not a curated record. The transcript is spliced from 2 exons. Lineage: Eukaryota; Viridiplantae; Streptophyta; Magnoliopsida; Asterales; Asteraceae.
GCGCCUCUUUCGUUUACUCCCAGUUCCAACACACACACACACACACAAACACGACCACUGCACAACACCCCUAUCUCCCACUCAAGCCACCACACACAUGACCGCAGCCGCCGGAGCCCGGAGCCACCCCUUCUGAGUUCUGACUUCUCCUUUCACUCAGUUCAGAAUUUAGGAAUUAGGGAUGCUCCGUUGAUUGCUUUAGUUAUCUUUUGCUUGGACCCCACGAUUGUUGAGGCAUACUCUAUUGCGCUUCCUGCACCAAGCUCUAGACUUUGAUUGGAAAUUUACACCAUGUUUUAGCUGUGUUCUAUAUUGAGAUCGCGUAUGGGCAUGACAGCAGCAGGUGAUCAGUGGUUCGGUCACGGCGUGUUAACAUUCAUUUUUUAUAGUGAUUCUCUGGUUGGGAUUCUGUUUAAAUCUUGCCAUCAAGCUAAAGAAAUUAGCCAUUAGGAAAGAGGUCCACUAACAUGUCCAUUUGUCUCCAGAAAAGUAUCUCUUCUCCAUUGACCUGCUUUCUUUUCAGAAAGUCAAAAACAUCAAUAUUUAAAUCUUUUAAACUAAUCCACCACUGUUGGAUGUUUUUCCAAAUUCCUCUAAUUGAUUUUUUCACUAGUGUAUAGUUUCCAAGGAUCUCCUAUUAUGGUAAUUGCUGUUAAUAAUAGGUUCUCAUAAGCUUGAUGCCUUUCUUUUGUAUUUCUAUAGGAUAAGUGAUGGAUACAUGAACGAUUCUUGCAUUUACUAUAUUGAAAGGGAGUUCUUACAACGAGUUUCGAUCGAGAAUGUAAUGCAAUGUUUUCAAAAGAUAUGAAACCUCGUAGGGAAUACGUAUUUUUUUAUUCAUAAAAACCAUUUUGUAAAUUUAUCA